Molecule: ribosomal RNA, 1301 nt
Filed under: Tenualosa ilisha (Hilsa shad)
Lineage: Eukaryota; Metazoa; Chordata; Actinopteri; Clupeiformes; Clupeidae
Description: partial 16S ribosomal RNA
Rfam family: Bacterial large subunit ribosomal RNA
Source: RNAcentral
CUGAAUCUAGCCGUAACUUCAGCUUGGAGUUCUCUAGUUUGAGCCCCCGAAACCGGACGAGCUACUCCGGGACAGCCUAACGUAGGGCCAACCCGUCUCUGUGGCAAAAGAGUGGGAAGAUCCCCGAGUAGAGGUGAAAGACCUACCGAGUCAGGUUAUAGCUGGUUGCCUGGAAAAUGAAUAGAAGUUCAGCUCCGUCAAGCGCCCUUCCCCCGAUCCCGAUCAAACAAGGUAGAAGGACACCCACGGAAGUUAGCUAGGGGAGGUACAGCUCCCCUAACAAAGGACACAACCUUCACAGGAGGCUAAAGAAUAUAUUAAACUAAGGUUACAGGCUUCAGUGGGCCUAAAAGCAGCCACCUGAGCAGAAAGCGUUAAAGCUCAAGCCAAAUCAAGCCCAUUAUUCUAUUAACGAAUCUCUGACGCCCCUAAUAAAUACCAGGCCCCCCCAUGCCCUCAUGGGAGAGACCAUGCUAGAACGAGUAAUAAGAAGAAAGAACUUCUCCCCGCACAUGUGUAAGUCGAAUCGGACCACCCAUCGACGAUUAACGAACCCAACAACAGAGGCCCAUGCACCAUCGCCACGCAGGCCAAGAAGACCACGCAAAUCGGAUCGUUUACCCCACACAGGAGUGCAAAUAAGGAAAGACUUAAGGAAUGAAAAGGAACUCGGCAAACCUAGACCCCGCCUGUUUACCAAAAACAUCGCCUCCUGCCCAUAUUGACCUAUAGGAGGUCCCGCCUGCCCUGUGACCAAAAGUUUAACGGCCGCGGUAUCCUAACCGUGCAAAGGUAGCGCAAUCAAUUGUCUUUUAAAUGGAGACCUGUAUGAAUGGCAUAACGAGGGUCUAACUGUCUCUUUUUUCCAGUCAAUGAAACUGAUCUGGCCGUGGGGGGGCGGGCAUGAGUGCACAAGACGAGAAGACCCUAUGGAGCUUUAGACGCCCACCAGCCAUUGGAAGCAGCCCCACUAAUAGACCUCCAAAUAAGAUGGGCCCUGGUAUAAACGUCUUCGGUUGGGGCGACCACGGAGGAAAAUAAAGCCUCCGAGAGGAACAGGGGGAAACCCUAAACCAAGAGCCACAGCUCUAAGCAACAGAAUAUUUGACCGGAAUGAUCCGGCCUAUUGCCGACCAGCGGACCGAGUUACCCUAGGGGAUAACAGCGCAAUCCUCUCCCAGAGUCCAUAUCGACGAGAGGGUUUACGACCUCGAUGUUGAUCGGGACAUCCUAAUGGUGCAGCCGCUAUUAAGGGUUCGUUUGUCACGAUUAGAGUCCUACGUGAUCUGAGUUCAAACCGG